This 253-nucleotide ribosomal RNA is filed under the name uncultured bacterium. RNAcentral's name for it is "partial 16S ribosomal RNA". It matches the Rfam family "Bacterial small subunit ribosomal RNA", at positions 524 to 776 of the family's 1533-position model. The record is from RNAcentral.
UACAGAGGUCUCAAGCGUUGUUCGGAUUCAUUGGGCGUAAAGGGUGCGUAGGCGGCGCGGUAAGUCGGGUGUGAAAUCUCGGAGCUUAACUCCGAAACUGCAUUCGAUACUGCCGUGCUUGAGGACUGGAGAGGAGACUGGAAUUUACGGUGUAGCGGUGAAAUGCGUAGAUAUCGUAAGGAAGACCGGUGGCGAAGGCGGGUCUCUGGGCCGAAAUUGACGCUGAGGAGCGAAAGCGUGGGGAGCAAACAGG